CUUUGUUGUUGAGAUUCUUUUUGAUUAAGUUUGUAUUAUUAGACAGAUAUGACUACGCACGCUACAAUGGGUAAAAACUAUUGUUAUAGAGUUUUUUGUUGUUUAUGUUAUUAUGAAUGGCAUUAGUUAUUUAUUUUGUAUUACUUUUGUUUACAACUGAUAUUAACAAAGAAGUGAGUACCAGUAAGGUAAGGUAAUAAAACCUCCUGAACUAUUUUUGUUGAGCUUGUGAAAUUUAUUUCACAAAAGGAAGACAUAACGAUCCUAAAUUCUGUCAGCGUCAACAUACAUGUAGGUUCCGUCUGUGUAUUAAGAGUUUUUGGGACAGAACCUUCAUUAUGACGAAAUUACAGAUAUUUAUUUUCAUUUUCCCUUAUUUUACUUACAAAUAGACUUGAUUUUUUUUUCAGUUAACUUCAAAUUUUGUCUUAGGUUUAUGUUGUUCAGUCAUCAAUUGCUUUGUCAGAUCUUCAUUGAAAUUUAUGAAAUUUGACAGAAGCUUAUUAAUGAUCAAAAUAUUUUCCGUAUUUUACAGAUAAACAGACUUAGUUAUUUUUACAGUUUCAGCUAGUAACAAGUAGAUACAAUCUAGGGUUAAAGUUUGUCACACAUUAGUUAACGUUACUUUGUCAAACCUUCAUAGAGUUUUAUGAAACUUAGGCAAUAGCUUUUUAACCAAAUGUUAACAAAUAAUGUCUGAAUCAAACUUUUGAAAAUAUAUUUUUUUCAUUUUUAGCAUUUUUUUGUGAUAGAUGGACUUCUAUUUUUACAGCGAACAUUUAAAGACACUCUGAGAUCAUUAGAAUUUUACAUGAUAAAUUUUUAAACCUUCUUUGAUGGAAAUGAAAAUUGUAUCUUCAAGACCAAAAAAUUAGAAUCAAAAGAAAAAUUCAAUUUUUUAAAAUUCUGUAUUUACUGAUAAAUGAAUCAACUUUUCAAGUCAACAUCAAUUGGCGAUUACACAUACACAAUUACAACAGCAGACACAUUUCAUGCAAGACACAGGGUUCUGCUGAACCCUUAUGAUUUUUUUUUCUAAUUCUUCUAUGCUUUCAAUCAUUUCCAGUGUGGACAUUAUUGCUCACUGUAAUGAUAAAGAAAUACAGAUUCUUUAGUCCAACAUUUCAAUUACCAUGUCACAAUUUUGGCAUUUCUUGCACAUUUUACUAAAUGAACAAUGAUGAACUAUAAAAUACUAGAGCUUCUUGAAAUUUGGUUUUAAUUUUUAUGUGAGCAUGCUUUACAAUGUGGUGCAUUGUUAGAUUCAUUGCUCAUCACUUCCUGAAUACCUUGAUAUUUUUACACAUACGGUAAUGGCCAUGUUUAAAAUUUUUCAUUGCAAUUUCUCUUUUGCUAUAAUGUACACUGCUUUCUCGGAUUUGAUAUCAAGGUUCAUGUGACUAUGUGAAGCAGUUUUAUGUGUCUGAUUAAUUAUCUUCCUAUUUACCCAAUUUUUGGAAAGUUUGCUAUAGCUUGCUAUUGCUACUUUCCUUAGGCGUCGGCCUCAAACUUCCGGUGACAGACUAUCGCAAUUUAUUCUGCUCCUAAAUAAUGUAGUACUAGUGUUUGAAUUCUGAUUCUUGGAAGAUUCUUUUGAAAUUUUGAGUGUCUACUCUUUUGACUGAAAAGAUAACAGCUUGAAUUAAAAAGAAAUGAAUGUUCACCGACGAUUCAGAUGAAUUUAACUUCAUUUUGAAAAUGAGUAUCACAAACACUAUUUCGCGGAUCUGUCAUGCGCUGAAGAGAAAAUCACAAGAAAUCUAUGCGAGAUUGUCGUGUUUCAUUCAUGAAUAUUUCAUGAAUGAACAUUUUCACUUUUUUACUAUGCGUACGUACGUAAACGUGGUAAAAGCCUGAGUGUUUUGAAAGAAUUGGGAAUGACUGAUUAAAAUUCGAGAACAAGAGUCAAGUUGACAUUUUGACAAGUGAUAAUGGUUUGUUUAAACAAAACACAGGUAAUAGAAUAUAAAAUACUCGACAAUUAUAUUUCUUAUGUCUCACGUCAAGGACGGGUAAAGGUAAAUACUGGAUAUGAUAAAAAAAAAAUAAAAUGCAUUGUUUUUGUCUAAACAUCGAUCGGAAGGUUUUGAUGCCAAAAAUCAUUUGAAAACUUUUAUUUCCGUUACUUAAAUACUAAUUGUUUCACAUUCCAAUGUGGAUAUAACAGCAUGCUCAAGUGAUCAAACUGACAGCAGAAAAACAUUGACCCAACGUCAAUUCUUCUUCAGUCUUCUCCAAUAAUUUACAUCAUACCACCUCUGGUGUAUUAUCGCAACUUCGUAUCAUAGUAUCAUAUAGCAUCCGUAUUAAAAGCAACCGAGUCAGCAUCUACUUCUUAGAAUAUUAUAGCUCAGGGUAUCAAGACAAGUGCUGUAGAAAUGAUUAAGGGUCAUGAUGUGUACACUUUGGCUAAAAUGGCUGCAUUUUAACCUCAAAUUUAGAUAGAUUACAACAAACCCGUGCAUCUGGAAAAGAUUUAAGGCAUAACAUGCCCUAUAUAAAUAGAAUUCAAUUGUCAUCCAAACACAGAGGCAAUGAUUACCGUAAUAUAUCAAAUGAAUGGCUUAAAACAAAAAUUCUAAAAUGUUAUGACUCAUAGAGGAAAUGCUUUUUCACAACAGCAACUAAAAUGUGUGACAGGUUAUAAGCACCUCUAUGAAUCUAGUGUAGAUAAACUUUUUAUUCCUGUGGUCAUACUGCUGUUGUUAUGCUCCCACUGUAUUGAGUUUUAUCCUUGUUCUUCUGUAAGUAUGUAGGUCCUCUUAAUAUAGGAAGAUGUGGUGUGAGUGCCAAUGAGACAACUCUCCAUCCAAAUAACAAUUUAAAAAAAGUAAACCAUUAUAGGUCAAUGUACGGCCUUCAACACGGAGCCUUGGCUCACACAGCACAACAAACUAUAAAGGGCCCCAAAAUUACUAGUGUAAAACCAUUCAAACGGGAAAACCAACAGUCUAAUCUAUAUAAAAUAAAAAAAACAAAAAACGAGACACGUAUAAAUUACAUAAACAAACGACAACUAUUGUACAUCAGAUUCCUGACUUAGGACAGGUGCAAACAUUUGCAGCGGGAUUAAACGUUUUAAUGGCUGUAUUAAAAGCAACCUAGUCAGCAUCUACUCCUUAGAAUAUUAUAGCUCAGGAUGUCAUGACAAGUGCUGUAGAAAUGAUUAAGGUUCAUGAUGUGUACACUUUGGCUAAAAUGGCUGCAUUUUAACCUCAAAAUUAGAUAGAUUACAACAAAGUGAACAAACCCUGUGCAUCUGGAAAAGAUUUAAGGCAUAACAUGCCCUAUAUAAAUAGAAUUCAAUUGUCAUCCAAACACAGAGGCAAUGAUUACCGUAAUAUAUCAAAUGAAUGGUUAAAAACAAAAAUUCUCAAAUUUUAUGACUCAUAAGACAAUGCUUAAUUUCAGCAACUAAAAUGUGUGACAGGUUAUAAGCACCUCUAUGUUUUCCCUUACUUGUACAUGUGUACCUCCGUACAUCCCAAAUUCUCUUACUUUAGUUUGCCUGAACCAAAUUGUAGGAAACUUAUACGCAAUGCUUAUAACCACAAUUCACAAGUCAAGUUUGAAUUUUAGUUGCGUCACUUUUACAUUUUACAUUCUAGUGUUUUAUGCUACUUUACAAAUAGAAAAGUUGCUGGAAAUUUAAGUUUCUGUUCUCUAACUUAAGUUUGUCUUAACCAAAUAUUAUGAAAUUUAUACACAAUGCUCAUUACCUUAAACACUGAUCAAGUUUGAAUUUUGGUGGCGAUAGUUAUACCGUUUUAUAGUUAUGCCCCUUUACAUAUGUAAAAAUUGCUGAAUAUUUUCGUUUCAGUAAUCUAACUAUAGUUUGCUCAACCAAAUAUUAUGAAACUUAUACACAAUACUUUUAACAAUAAAACCAAGAUCAAGUUUGAAUUUUGGUGGAGUCAUUUUUACUGCUCUAGGGUUGUGCCUCAUUACAAAUUGAACUAGAUGCUCCACAGGGCAUAGCUUUAUACAACAGCAGAGGUCGAAACUCUGAACAGUUGGGGCAAGUAUGGACACAACAUUCAAGCUUGAUACAGCUCUGAAUUUGGAUUGCGAUAAAAAUUUUGACAUAAUAUAUAAGUUUCUCACAUAAAAUAAAUGUCAAGAUCUUACAACUCCAUUGCGCAAUACUGUGUAAUUAGAACGUAUACACAAUGCUUAUUACCCCAUAACUCAGAUCAAGUACAAAUUUUGUUAGCGUCACAUUUACAGUUCUUGAGUUGUGACCCUUUAUAAUGUUAAUGCUAGCGGGGGCAUCAUUUGUGUCCCAUGGACACGUUCCCUAUUUUUGAUAAAAGCCUUUAAUAUAAAUUCAUUUUCAUUCCAGUUGUAUCGAUUUAAGUUACUGCAACUGUCUUAUUUAUAAAAAAGGAUGCAGUAUUUUUUGCAAAGAACCAAUGCUAUUCAAAAAAGGAAAAUGUAUUACAGUGACUUGACUGUAAGUGUUGCUAUCCACCAAUUGCAACUUCUUCAAAAUUCUGACAAAAUUGCAAUUUGUUUCAUAAAAUCAAAUUGUUCAACUGGUCAGAAAUUUGAACUAUCUGCUGUAGAAAACCACAGUCAAGUAGUGAAAGUGCAAGAUUGAUAAAUAAAAAUACUUACAAUCCUAUAAGACUUAACUUCACUUAAUGAUGUUGUGACAAAAUUAGUUUAUCAGUUUGUAUAGCUUAUAUUAUAGUCAUUUCCAUGCUGAAGGAACUGUUAUUAUUUUGAAUUGCUAUAAAAAUGUCCAAACUAAGCUUUCAUAUAGUUUUACUUUCUAAAAGUAUUCUAUAUUCAUAAGAAUCAGACAUUAUGUGAUUAAAAACAUUUCAUAUUCAGUAAAAUAUGUGUAAAAUUGCAAUAUAUUUGUAGGAAGUGUCCAUGGGGAGAUAAUCAUUUUUUCUUUCAAAAAGUCUUUAUUCAAAAGAAUAUAUUUUUAGGUUAUCUCCCCAUUUAUAGCAUAUUGUUAUUUCUUAUUUCCAUGGGGGGGAAGUUUGGACUUAUAGCAAAGAAAUAAUGACUCACCAUUGAUUUCACUAGCAUCUAUUGCAAUAAAAUUUAUAUCUGAAUAUAUAAAGAUUCGAUUUAGUAUUGUUUUAAAAUAAGAUUAAAAAUCUGAAUUGUUCACCAAUCAAUAUGUCACCAAGGGAAGAUAUAGAAUACUUUUAGAAAGAAAAACUAUAUGAAAGCUUAGUUUGGACAUUUUUAUAGCAAUUAGAAAUAAUGACAGUUCCUUCACCCAUGGAAAUGACUAUAAAUACCUAUACAAACUGAUGCCUUAUUUUGUCUCAACAUCAUUAAAGUGGAGUUAAAGUCUUAUAGGAUUGUAAGUAUGUUUUAUUUUAUCACCUUGCACUUUCACAUUUUGGCUGAACAAUUUGUUCAAUAUUUUGACCAGUUGAACAACUUGUUUUAAUAAAACAAAUUGCAAUUUAUUCAAAAUUUUGAAUGAGUUGCAAUUGCUGAAUAGCAGCACUAACAGUCAACUGAGUAAGUCACUGUAAUAACUAUGGGCCACCAUACGGUCGUCAAUAAUGAGAAAUAUUUGUACCAUAUUUGUUUAGAAAGCUAUGAAAGGCCUCUAUAUGAAACAUGUGGAACAAUUCAAACAAGAAAUCUUACGUGUUAAUCAGUAACAAAACAUUGUACUAAAAAACAAAUAUGAAGGACCUAAACCAAUAGAAAAAUACUAAUUCACAGGCCCUUGAAGUUGACAUGGCAUGGGUACUUAAAGAAAUUAACCGAGCUUAACCGAGCUUUCUGUAUAUUUCAUUUUUUUAGAUCUACAGUUUUAGGUUGCAAUAGAAAAUAUCAAAACUUUUUAGGAUAAACUUGUAAAAAAGUGAUUUUUGAUAAUUACUGAUAAGACAAUGGUUUAGACAAAGCUGUGAUGAAAUACAUAUUUGAAAUAAUACAUGUCUAUAACUUUUUUGGAAUAAUACACAGCUACUGUUGCAAACUUUCCAGAGGUGCUAUCUAGCACUUUGAUUAUAUUACAGACAUCCAUUACAUGCCAGGCAUAUUGGUCCAUAUGAAAUAGAACCCAAAAUAAAUUACUUACCGGUAGCUAAAACGUUGUAACAUGCUUUAUUUGUUUAUUAAAUUUCUUUGAAAAAACGCCUAUUGUAGUGUAAACAAGCAUCCUAUCAGUUUACUGAAUCAGACUUUGAACUUCUAAAUAUGGUACUUGAGUUUUUUCUGUCUAGGACAACGAUUACAGGCAUUUUACUCCAUAAGAGUCAAAUUAUGAGUUUCAUUUACCGGUAUAUUCAUUUGUUUUGUAUAGAUAAAGUGCAUAGAAGGUUACUUAGAGGCAUUUUGCCACAUAUGAGUCAAAGCAAAAGACUUACUCUUAGACUAUAUAUUAUCAGAACACUAAGAACCAUGUGUUUAAUCUUGUUGUUACUUCUGUUUCAGUGUGUGGUGAUACUUUUAGCUCCUAAAAUUAUAUUGAUAAAAUUGUAAUGUAUUAUAUUUGCAGAUGUUACUUUAAGUGCAUUAAAUGCCCCAGAGAGUGACAUAGAUAUUGAGGGGGAUUCAUCAUCUUCAAAGAAGUUAGAAUUUGAUUCAGGUAAUAUAUAUAUCAAUGAAAGAGUGAUAAUGUUAAUGUCAUGUAAUAUUUUAUAGAUAUAGAUAAUAAUAAUAUAUCUAUAUCUAUAAAAUAUUACACUGAUUAUUCUGUCCUCAUAUCUUGACUUACAUCUGCAUAUCAACAAUAAUGGUUGUUUGAGAACAAAAUUUGAACAAAAUAGAUGAUUCAACUUUCCAAUUCUAUGUAGCAACAUUCCAGCACUGCCUGCAUAUGGAGUAUAUAUCUGUCAGGUGGAAUGUAUUUCAAGGGCUUACGUUUCCUAUAAUGAUUUCUUUCAUAGAGGGAUGCUGCAGAAGCAAUUAAACCAUAUGUAUGAGUUCCAAAUUUUGAAAUUUAUACCACAAUUCCAUCCUCUUUUUCCCUGAAUGUGACCUACCAAUAAAAUAAAAAAGAAGAUGGGGUUUGAUUGCCAAUGAGACAACUCUUCACAAGCUCAUUGACACAGAAAUUAACAAAUAAAGUUCAAUGUUUGAUCUUCAUCAAUGAGCAAAGCCCAUAGUCAGCUAUAAAAGGUCCUGAAAUAACAAACGUAAAAAGAUUCAAACAAGAAAACUAAACAAUAAGCCUUAUCACCAGCCUUGUUCUUACUUACAUAACUUUUUUUCUCUAGCAUUUUUACAAUCAGCUAAUUGAUUUAUUAUUUUAGAUGUGGAUUCAAGUAUGUUGUGACAGAAAGCUGGAAUUUAAUUGACUGUUUUCUAAUACAUAGAAGUACACAGAACUGGGCCAUUGUGUUUGGUGUAGUUAAGUGCAAUUAAAGUUGGAUAAACAGAUACUGUCAUCUUGCUUGUUGAUAUUUACAUUGAAGAUGAAGCAUUUGGACUGAACUAUCUGAAAUCAUAUGUCUGCUUUGAUAUAUUUAUUUAUUCGUUCAACAGUUGCCAUCCAGAAAAGUUUUAGCAAUGCGAUAGUUACUUUUAGGACUUUCCAAACUUAUUACAAAAAUGACAAUCUUUUAAUUGCUGUCAAAUUUGUUAACCUCAUCUUCAAUGAUUCUUAUGUUGUUCAUCUUUUCAUUCAUUUGUCAGGCUUGUUUCCAGAUAAUCGUUAUUUACACAAAUUAAUUCUAAAAUUACAUGUAAACUUUUUUUAUUUAUCAUGAUUUUUUAACUUCUGGUUGAUACUAAAAGUACUGAUUGACAAACUACUAAGAGAAUUUUUGUCAAUUUUUACUUGUAUAAAUGUUGUUUUUAAUAUUUUUUUAGAGGAUACCUUUGUUAGUUUGUUAGAGAAUUUGUCAUCAUGUGUGAAAUUAAAAAAGUAAAUAAAACAUUUGUAUAUAUACAUGUAUAUAGUAUCAUGAAUAAAGGCAAUUUUAAAC
RNAcentral lists this long non-coding RNA (7910 nucleotides) under Mytilus galloprovincialis (Mediterranean mussel). The record is from RNAcentral. Lineage: Eukaryota; Metazoa; Mollusca; Bivalvia; Mytilida; Mytilidae.